RNAcentral lists this ribosomal RNA (254 nucleotides) under uncultured bacterium. Its description in RNAcentral is "partial 16S ribosomal RNA". It matches the Rfam family "Bacterial small subunit ribosomal RNA", at positions 524 to 776 of the family's 1533-position model. The record is from RNAcentral.
UACGUAGGGUGCGAGCGUUGCUCGGAAUCACUGGGCGUAAAGCGCACGUAGGCGGAUUGUUAAGUCGGGGGUGAAAUCCUGGAGCUCAACUCCAGAACUGCCUUCGAUACUGACGAUCUCGAGUCCGGGAGAGGUGAGUGGAACUCCGAGUGUAGAGGUGAAAAUUCGUAGAUAUUCGGAAGAACACCAGUGGCGAAGGCGGCUCACUGGCCCGGUACUGACGCUGAGGUGCGAAAGCGUGGGGAGCAACAGGG